This 443-nucleotide ribosomal RNA is filed under the name Enterobacter sp. LGI1H. RNAcentral's name for it is "partial 16S ribosomal RNA". It matches the Rfam family "Bacterial small subunit ribosomal RNA", at positions 1014 to 1390 of the family's 1533-position model. Lineage: Bacteria; Pseudomonadati; Pseudomonadota; Gammaproteobacteria; Enterobacterales; Enterobacteriaceae. The record is from RNAcentral.
UGCCAUUCGCGGAACUCUGAGACACGGUGCUGCAUGGUCUGUCGUCAGACUCGCUGNUUGUGAAAAUUGGUUUAGGGGUUAAAGGUUCCCCGGCCAAACGGAAGGCGGCCAAACCCUUUUUCCUUUUGUUGCCCAUGCGUGAUCCGGCCGUGGUAACUCAUAAAGUGCAGUACUGGCGCAGAUGAUAAACUGGAACGGUAAGGUCGCGCGAGAUGACCGUCAAGUCAUUCAUGGGCGCCUUACGAGUAGGGCUACACACGUGCUACAAUUGGCGCAUACAAAGAGAGAAGCGACCUCGGGCGUAGGAGGCAAGCGGACCUCUAUUAAUAGUUGCGUCGUCAGGUCCGGAUUGGAGUCUGCAACUCGACUCCAUGAAGUCGGAAUCGCUAGUAAUCGUAGAUCAGAAUGCUCACGGUGAAUACGUUCCCGGGGUCUUUGUACAC